Molecule: ribosomal RNA, 468 nt
Filed under: uncultured bacterium
Lineage: Bacteria
Description: partial 16S ribosomal RNA
Rfam family: Bacterial small subunit ribosomal RNA
Source: RNAcentral
GACGAACGCUGGCGGCGUGCUUACCACAUGCAAGUCGAACGGAAAGGCCCUGCUUUUGUGGGGUGCUCGAGUGGCGAACGGGUGAGUAACACGUGAGUAACCUGCCCUUGACUUUGGGAUAACUUCAGGAAACUGGGGCUAAUACCGGAUAGGAGCUCCUGCUGCAUGGUGGGGGUUGGAAAGUUUCGGCGGUUGGGGAUGGACUCGCGGCUUAUCAGCUUGUUGGUGGGGUAGUGGCUUACCAGGGCUUUGACGGGUAGCCGGCCUGAGAGGGUGACCGGCCACAUUGGGACUGAGAUACGGCCCAGACUCCUACGGGAGGCAGCAGUGGGGAAUAUUGCACAAUGGGCGGAAGCCUGAUGCAGCAACGCCGCGUGCGGGAUGACGGCCUUCGGGUUGUAAACCGCUUUCGCCUGUGACGAAGCGUGAGUGACGGUAAUGGGUAAAGAAGCACCGGCUAACUACGUG